UCUACGGGUGGCUGCAGUGAGGAAUAUUGCACAAUGGGGGGAACCCUGAUGCAGCGACGCCGCGUGGGUGAAGGAGCGUUUCGGCGCGUAAAGCCCUAUCGGCAGGGAAGAAGGAGGACGGUACCUGACUAAGAAGCCCCGGCUAACUACGUGCCAGCAGCCGCGGUAAUACGGAGGGGGCAAGCGUUAUCCGGAUUUACUGGGUGGAACGGGGGCGCAGACGGCAGCGCAAGCCAGGAGUGAAAGCCCGGGGCCCAACCCCGGGACUGCUCUUGGAACUGCGCGGCUGGAGGGCAGGAGGGGCCGGCGGAAAUCCUGGUGUAGCCGGGGAAAGCG
This 336-nucleotide ribosomal RNA is filed under the name uncultured bacterium. RNAcentral describes it as "partial 16S ribosomal RNA". It matches the Rfam family "Bacterial small subunit ribosomal RNA", at positions 338 to 690 of the family's 1533-position model. The record is from RNAcentral.